Molecule: ribosomal RNA, 253 nt
Filed under: uncultured bacterium
Lineage: Bacteria
Also listed under: 1 other name
Description: partial 16S ribosomal RNA
Rfam family: Bacterial small subunit ribosomal RNA
Source: RNAcentral
UACGAAGGGGGCUAGCGUUGCUCGGAAUGACUGGGCGUAAAGGGCGCGUAGGCGGAUUGGUCAGUCAGACGUGAAAUUCCUGGGCUUAACCUGGGGGCUGCGUUUGAGACGGCUGAUCUAGAGUGGGGAAGAGGGUCGUGGAAUUCCCAGUGUAGAGGUGAAAUUCGUAGAUAUUGGGAAGAACACCGGUGGCGAAGGCGGCGACCUGGUCCUUUACUGACGCUGAGGCGCGAAAGCGUGGGGAGCAAACAGG